GAUGAAGAACGCAGCGAAAUGCGAUACUUGGUGUGAAUUGCAGAAUCCCGUGAACCAUCGAGUCUUUGAACGCAAGUUGCGCCCGAAGCCAUCAGGUUGAGGGCACGUCUGCCUGGGCGUCACAUAUCGUUGCUCGAUGCCUAUCGCAUUGCGAUAGGACUUAGGGCGAAUGAUGGCUUCCCGUGAGCGUUGUUGCCUCGCGGUUGGUUGAAAAUCGAGUCCUUGGUAGGGUGUGACAUGAUAGAUUGUGGUCGAGUUAGCACGAGACCGCUCAUGUGCAUGCUCCCCAAAAUAUGGCCUCUGUGACCCACACGCGUCUUUUGACGCUCAUGACGAGACCUCAGGUCAGGCGGGGCUACCCGCUGAAUUUAAGCAUAUCAAUAAGCGGAGGA
This 392-nucleotide unclassified non-coding RNA is filed under the name soil metagenome. RNAcentral describes it as "partial contains 5.8S ribosomal RNA, internal transcribed spacer 2, and large subunit ribosomal RNA". The stretch from base 1 to 122 matches the Rfam family "5.8S ribosomal RNA", at positions 35 to 154 of the family's 154-position model. The record is from RNAcentral.